This 337-nucleotide unclassified non-coding RNA is filed under the name soil metagenome. RNAcentral describes it as "partial contains 5.8S ribosomal RNA, internal transcribed spacer 2, and large subunit ribosomal RNA". The stretch from base 1 to 120 matches the Rfam family "5.8S ribosomal RNA", at positions 35 to 154 of the family's 154-position model. The record is from RNAcentral.
GAUGAAGAACGUAGCGAAAUGCGAUAAGUAGUGUGAAUUGCAGAAUUCAGUGAAUCAUCGAAUCUUUGAACGCACAUUGCGCCCUUUGGUAUUCCAAAGGGCAUGCCUGUUCGAGCGUCAUUUGUACCCUCAAGCUUUGCUUGGUGUUGGGCGUCUUGUCUCUAGCUUUGCUGGAGACUCGCCUUAAAGUAAUUGGCAGCCGGCCUACUGGUUUCGGAGCGCAGUACAUCUCGCGCUUUGCACUCAUAACGACAGCGUCCAAAAGUACAUUUUACACUCUUGACCUCGGAUCAGGUAGGGAUACCCGCUGAACUUAAGCAUAUCAAUAAGCGGAGGA